Molecule: long non-coding RNA, 8990 nt
Organism: Oreochromis aureus
Lineage: Eukaryota; Metazoa; Chordata; Actinopteri; Cichliformes; Cichlidae
Exons: 2
Source: RefSeq, a predicted model, not a curated record
AAGUUGCAUGAAGUAAAAAGUUGAAGUGAUGAAAAGUGAUGAAAAGUGAUAAAAGUGAUGAAAAGUGAAAUAUAUGUCGGCACCCCCAAGGUGGUUACCGCUGGAAACCUAGUUAUCCAUUUAGGUAGAUAAGGUGACACAGGCUAACUAGGUUAACCAUAUAAUUGGUUAACCUAGUUAACCCAAGUGAAUUGCUAGGUAGUCAGGACUGCUCGGGCUUUGGGGGAAUUUUGGAGAUAAGAACUCAGCACGUAACGCGGGGGCUUGGGGCUCGCAGUGGGAUUCUGAGGGCCUUCGAGUCCACCGGUCUGGACACGCUGGGUAACUGCGCGCGUCGCUGUAUGAAAGGCGACACCUUCGGCCAAAGUGUAAAUAUGUAAAUAGCUGUUACUAACCCUUAAGUAUAAUCGCUGCUGUAAAUAUUGCUAAGUAGUAGUCUAGAGUAUAACCAUGUAUUGCUGUAAAUAUUGCUUAAAAUAACUCUUGCCGUAAAUAAGAGUUAGAGGAAUACGCGUAAGGGGUGGGUUUGGAUAAAUAAAUACGGAAAAGGGAAGUUAGUAGGUAGAUGAGUAAAAAGUUGUAGAGGGACUGAUUUGAGAGACUUAAAAAAACUGAGCUCUCUGUGCUGCAGAGCGCUGUGUCUGCAGGCAGUUUGUGAAUCAUCCCUACGGUAUGUGGAGGAGUGAGAGGAGCAUCAGAGCAGUUAAAAGAGAUAAGUCUGCAAAAAUUAAGAGUUGUUGAAUAUAAAGAGGAAAAUAGACACUGCUGCUGAAAUAUAAUGUUGUUGUUUAAGGAAUUUAAACAGAAAGAUCUGUAGAAAUAAUAUUUGUCAAGCAGCAAUAAGGUGGAAAAUUUGUGGGUAAAAUUGAGUAAAAGAAGAUAUUAAUUACCAAAAUAGGGAUAAUGAGUAAAUAGGGAUUGCAGGCAUUUUUUGGGGGAAUUAUUAGCUUAAUAAAAGUAUGACCAAAAGUUAAAUAAAUUGGAAAUAGAGCUGCUUGACUAAAGUAAAAAGAAGGAUAACCUAACCUAAAGCUAAAUUGUAACAUAUCCAAACUAAUAAUAGUAAGAAUGAGAACUAUAAACUAAUUCUAAUAAUAAAACAUAGCUGGGAUAAAACUCAGGCCUAAAAUAAUUAGAGGGAAAGUAAAUAAAUCACACAAACAAAUAAUAAAUGAAAUAGGGAGAUUUGUGUUGUGUUUGGAGAAAUAUAGACGGUAGUGGUGAUGAUCUAAGAACAGCUGAACAUCUUAGUAAGGAAUGAGAGAUAGAGACCAAAUAAAAAGAACAUGUUUGGGCUACAACGGAGAUAAGAGAGUCAAAACAGCAUCCAUAAAUCGAUCUCAGUAAAAUGUAGGAGUUCAGAAUAAACAGGCUGACAUGUGGGGUGAAGUGGUCAUGAGGACGAAUAAUGAACAAAUUAACAAAAAGAGACACCUGCUAGAGAUCUGUUUAAAAUGCUGCCAUCACAAAUAAGUAGCUGGGAAGAGAAAAAAAGGUAGACAGGGUUUAAAUGCAACUAACUGAUAUAUUAAACCCAGAGCAUAAGAGCUAAAAUCACUGGAUGCAAAAUAGUGAAGUGAAAUAGAAGAGUUUUGUUGGAAAUGGUGGUUUAAUAAGUCAGAGAUUGUGACUUAACAAUUUCAAGUAAAGUUUAGUGCCUGUUGAGUGUGGCAGAGGGAGACAGUAGCAGAGGAAAAAGGAAAAGUGUUGUACUGAGAGAGCUCACAUCAGCUGAGCCGCUGCUGCAGGAGGCGGCCCGUAAACAGCGUCACAGGGUGUAGCUGGCUCAAGUUGCUCUGACUGUGGAGUGUGUGGGGUGGGCCCCGACAUCCUGCCAAGAGUGUCCUUGACCAGUGCACAGUGCACAGGCUAAGCCAAAUGCAAGUGUGUGAGAAGAAGAGUAAAAGACUGACCUGCAUGUCUCAAAGAGGUUAUUGUUAUGGUGAGCUUGUGCAAGCUCAGAGGAGUCACCUGAGACAGGAAGCAAAAUUGUUUGCUUAAAAAAAAGAAAAAGAGAAAAAAAAAAGAAAAAGAUGUAACUUGUUUGUAAAGUUUGCGGCCCACAUCAGUUAAGAUGCUUAAACAAGUGAUCAAAUGCUGAGUACUAUGAACAAAAAACAACAAAAAUGUAAAAAAGAAUAGUGCCCAUUAGAGUGAGGAACAGGAAGAAAGAAGCUCUAAAUUUGAGAAUAAAAUAUUAGAAGAAACACCUGGGAGGAAAAUGAUAAGGCCAGUAAACUGGUUCUCAUGUAAAUUAAAAUAAAUAUAACAAACUAUUAAAAUAAGAAAAGGGAAGUAAGACAGAACUGAAUGACAGAGGGGCAUAAGACAUAACAGUAGAGAAGCAGUGGAAAGAAUUGAGAAUAAUAAUAAUUCAGCGAGUAAACAAAAAGUUUAAAUAUAACAGUAACUGAUUAGAGUGUAAUGUUAACAAUAAUAAAACAAUAAUUAGAAAGAUGUAAUAAAUAAUGCCAUUAAGUGUAAUAGUAAAAUAAGAGGAAGAGUAGGUACGAAUGAAAAGUGAUUACACUCAAGCACUUUAGAAAAAAAGAAUAAAAAUUUAAAGAAAAAGAAUAUUUGGCUGGGAAAAGAAACAACAGAAAUAAAGUUGUGGGGUGCAUGGCUGGUUAACCUGCAGCUGUGGAUCAUUAGAACUGCUGAUCAAUAAAAUAAAAGCAUGAUUAGAUAUUGUAUGGGGGAAGGGAUUAUUAAAGGGAUCUUUGGUAUCUAAAACACUCGCCUUGAUGCUGGUCAGACUGUGUGUAAUUCUUCUUCUAUAGCUAUAAGAGAAAUAACAUUUAGACGAGCUUCAGAGGUGAGUGACAUAAGAGGGCCUUAACCCUUUAGGGCCUCGAGUGUCAGGCUUGAAUCAGGAAGCAUUUAAGUUUUAAGAGUCCCAAAACAUCAGAGUGCUUUUUACCAUCCAAGAAAGUAAAUAAAUAAAUAAAUGAAUUGCACUUUAUACAUUUAAGGAAUAACUUGCAAAAUGCUGUCUUUAGCAAAUGCAAUAUGGUAAUUCUUACAUAUGCAAAAUUACUAUUGCUUUUAAUUUGUCAAGUUUAAUAGGUGUUGUGACAAAAUUUGGGGGUAAUUGUUUCAGGAAUCAGGGUUUUGAAUAGUGACAGGGUUAAUCCCACAGCUGCAUCUUGUCACUUACAGGAAAGUUGGGCAGAAAAACAUAAAACUGUUGUAUAUGAUAAUAAAGCCCCUAUGAUCUUGUUUUAGUUUUACAAGAAAAAUAAAAGCAAAUAUAGAUAAAUCUCUGCUAAAUCUAAGCUCCCUGAAUAAGCAGUGUGCAUCGUGCGGGGGGGAAAUACACAGGAGCAGGGUUUGGAGGGGAUGACAUAGCCUUUGUUCCAGCAAAAGCUGGUGAUUAGAAAUAAAACACAUUAACCUAAAAUGCAAUAAGGAGAAAUCAAAAGUUGAGCCUUUGUACUAAAAAAAACUAAACAAAAAAACAAAAACCAUGACAAAAGUGAUUAUGGCUUAGAAGAGGAGAAGUAAACACGAGAAAGUUUGAGAUGUAGGAAGUCAGAUUAAGGAACCGAAGAGUGAAGAGUGAUUAGACAGGUGGGACAAAGAAAGUUGUGAGUCAGAGGAAAGGAAGCUAAAUAGGAGAAUUCAAAGACCAGGAGUAAGAUAAUGGAGAGUAACAUGAGGUCGAGCUCACAGGCAAAAGAAAAAAAAAAGGUGGAGCAAAUGAAAACAGUUACUAACUGAUGUAUGCACAUACUUCAAACAACGACUCUCCUGCUAUGGGAAAAAGAAAUACCUCCUUACAGAUGAAGGAGCUCACCAACUGAGGGGGAGAAACACAGAGCACCAGUGAAAGACAGCAGGCCAUGAGCCUGUGGAGAAGAGCAACACUGGCACUGCGAAGGCCUACGUCACUGAUGAGGCCUGCACAAAGGUGGAGAGGAGGAGUCAGCUGUAUGACGACAUCCAAUGGUUGGCACGUGUGAAAGCCCAGGAACUCCAGAGAGGAGCGUCCAAGUGAAGAUCCACAAUUCAUGAAACUGAGUCUCCUCGAGUCCAAUGAAAGACUGUAUCUGCAGAGGGCUGGAAAAGUGUAUUAAAACACACUUUUAGUCAGCUGACAUACUCAUCAAUCUGCUGAGUGGCCUCUAAGAACCAACAUUGUCUGCAUCUGGGAUGUUCUCUGUGUGGAUGUUCCUGGAGAACGCCAAGAGGAUUGUGGGCAGCACCGUAACAACAAGGAAUUUACUGCCAAGAGAAAUCCUCAGUACAUGGACUGUGACUGAUACCAGAGUACUAACUAUGCAUGAUAUCUGCAGUGAACAACAUGAAGCAGCUGCAUCAGUAAUGCUCCCAACAAACUAAUAAGUUUAAAGCCCUGGGCUCCACCCCUUGUGUUACUCUCCCAGUAGAAAAAGAACACAUAUAAUAAGAACUAGGCCACAUGAAAGCAUUAGAUGGGAGAUUAUUAGAAAUAUAUUCAUUACUAACACUCUUACAUUAGAAUAUUAUUUAAGAUUAGGAAAUUUGAAUACAUAAAGGGCGCAGACAUGACUCCCAUUGACACUAGAACAGACACAGGGCAUUAGAACCCCAGUAGGGCAGGGGACAGAUAAGUAAACUUAGAGAAGUUAUUAAUCACCUUAUGAGCAUUGCAUUAUUGAAGGGAUGAGACCUAUACAUGGGGAUUUACUAAAAGUUGGGGUAAUGAUGAAACUCAGGAUCCCUGGUAACAUGAAAUGAGAAAUUUAAACAUCUGCUGUUUCUGACCCUGGUACACUGCUCUUGGGUAUCCCCCUGACAUGUAUGUAACUGUGUGGGUGCAAAUAUGUGUGAAUCUGUGUGCAGAUAUGACAAAUAAUCUGUCUUUUAUCUUUUUCAGUGCAGCUACAUAUAGACCAGUGGCAGCUACCUCUGUUCCUGUGUUGAAGCUAAUAGUAAGAUGCUAGCUCUAAAUGUGCAGCACUAAACCAUCCAUAGUGCGAUAAUUCAGUGUGUGUGCAAUUUGUAGUUACUUUCAAAUGGAAGAAAGAUAAAAAUGAAUGCAGUGUGGAGGAGAAAGCAGUGAAGGAUUCUGUCAUAAUCUUAACUGCAUUGGGAAAAGGGGGGAACAUAUAGCUUAGCAGAGCUAAAUUGUUAACUCUCCCAAAGAAUGAACCAAACAAAAAAAAAAGAGAAAAUCUAAAUUAUCAGAUAUUUUGGAGGGAAAGAGGCUAAAGCCUGAUCCCCUAUAAAAAUGAGCAAACCUCAAAUUAGAAAAAUGUGGCAUAAAUUAUCUUUCCUGUGUGUGGCAGGGUCCAGUUGUCUGUGGAUUGACAUAUUUAAAUUACUCAAAUGCUUACUCUAGCAAAAACUGCAGAGCUAAAUGACUCUAUUCUAGUUCUAUUCUAGUUCCAGUGUGAAGAGGUAGAGUUUGAAGCACUGAGGAGGGACAUGCAGUCUGACCGGGCACUUAGCAACCAAAAGGAAAGAGAAGAACAUUUCAUUGGUAUGGGGCAAACUGAGAAGAUUAAGGUAAGGCAGAGUUGAGUCAGAAUGAUUAAACCUCAAUAGGUAAGCAACUAUUGACCUAGUACAAUCCAAAUUUACAAAAGUUGAAGUAGACCUUUUACCCUGCAAUUAGCACUGUUUGUUUUUCAGGAGGUCUCAGUGUUCAUCAUGGCCAUCCAGGUGUAUUGUAAAUAUAAUGCCAAUUACAUGUAUUAUUUACGGUCCAAAAUUUACUAUCACUCAAGUUAAGGAAAAUGGGGUGUGAAGUAAUUGUCUGCCUCAGAGUCCACCACCAAAAUGUGUAACAAGGUCCAAUUAGGGAAUUUCUUAUGAUUACUGUCUAUGAACACCCCAUGCAUGAAAAUUUGUAUGAAUAGUCUAAUACACCUGUUUUAGCUUUUCAAUGGCUAUUUUUCUAUAAGAACAAAGGCUGUCAUGCUGUAUAUUAUUCAACUCAAGGUUGAACAGGCAUGAAAUUAUGUUGCCAGUCAUCUAAAGGCACAUUAUUAUCUAAGGAUAAACUGCAAAAAUAAAACAUUACAAAACAAUUAUUUAUCUGACCCCCUUUUAGCAAGAAAUUUGGAGAAGAGGAACUCCCUUUUUAACAGGAAUAAAUGCCCAGUAGAACUGGGCACAGGGGGGAGUGGUCAUCUGCUGCGACCAGCUGAGUGAGGAGAAAGAGACAGGACUAAAAACAUGCUGUGUAGGAGACCCAGAGAUUGAUAAUAACUAAUAAUAACUCAAAAGAGAGACCUAAAAAACUGGAGGCCUGGCUUCCCAUUCUACUUUUAAAUAUUCUAGUAAGCUUAAAGUUUGAGAGUCAAGUGGGGAGAUACAGUACUAUAGGAGCAGGAUGGUAAUUAAAAAACAGAUUUAACAAGGAGCCUAUGAAGAGAAGUCAAUAAAAGAAAUAUACUCUGUCAUUCUAGUCCCUUUCAGUAUUCAUGUGCAACAUUUUGAUGUAGUUGAAUGCUUUUUAAGGAGUUUUUACCACAACCUGAUAAUAACAACAGCUCAGCCUAGAAGUAAUAAAUGCAUGAAUUUGUCUUUCAGCAUCACUCUGGGACAGGACUUUAGAGAUAUUGCAGAAAUUGAAGAAAGCAGUCCUUAAUAUUCACAUAUUAGUGCAUAUUGGGAUUUAAAAAAUUACUCCAAGAAACCUCACAGUGUUAAUGGAGACCAAGGUAAUGCCAUUCAGGGCAUUCCUUUAGGUUGACUGACAGGUGUGUGUUGCCUGGCUUCAUGGAUGAAUGAGAGAGAGGGUGUCAUCAGCACGGCAGAGGUAUGUUGUGUCUUUUGUGGUGUUACCUGAAGGAGGCACAUGUUAUGUAAACAGAAAUAGAUCUUGGGGUGGAACCUUGUGAAGCUCAAUGGUUAGUCUUGUGUAUGUGGGAGGAUUCUUAGAAUAACAUGGUCACAAGUGUCGGACAUAGAGAUCAAUCCACUGUCAGAGGCCUUAAGAAGAUCAUUUUUAACUUUCAUCAAAGCUGUUUCUAUACUGUGAGGUGCUCUGAAACCUGACUGAAACUCUUUAAAUAAGGCAUUCCUCUGUGGCUAUUUUACAGCAUCUCUUGUGGGGAUUUUUGACAUAAAGGAAAGUUGGAGGCCUAUAAUUGGCUAGGACAGUUAGGUCAAGUGAUGGUUUAACUACUGCCAACAUGAAGAACUGUGUGGUCAAUGUUGCAUUGUCUAACUUAGCUUUGAAAAUUCCAAUUCUGUGGCUAUAGAGGUGUGGGAAGUUUGAUCAGCCAUAUAGCCAGCAACACUAAGUAGAGGGCUAACAGUGUUAAUGAUGAAAUGUGAACUGGCCGGUGACAGAGUUAAUGUUUAUCCAAAUUCAGCAUAUAAAUUUGACAUGUGCUCAAUAGUGUUUAAGAACAAAGGAGAUCUUAGAGAAGCCAACAGAGCCCCAAUACUGUAUGAAGAAGCAGUAACUCAGCUCCUAGUCGCCCUAAAGCUCCCUGGUGCUUUGGCUGUGAUUAGAUGUCUUGAUCACCAGAAAACAGACACAUUAACACCUAAAUGAAACAACAUGUUAGAGCUUUACUAUGCACUUCCUAAAUUGAUAGCUAGGUAAAGAUAAGUAAAGCUUUCUCUUUAUAACAGCAUUUGAGACAAACAUUUCAAAGUGCUUCACAAAAUAAAGCAAUGAAUUGGAAUUUGUUAAGGAAGAGGUCAACUGGGUACAAAUAUUAACUUUAGUACUAAGGUGCAUGCAGUUGUGAACUAACAAGACUAAAACAACUAACAUUGCAUGGCAUACUCACAAAGGUCCAUAGAUAAGUCCUCAUAAAGGGCCUGUAUUGGUAACUGUGAACACAACUAAUGCAGUCUGCAAAGCUAUCUUUCUGCAGGAGAUGGCUUCUGGAUGGCAGAUGGAGAUGCAGAGGUCCUGGAGCAGGUGCUGGCAAUCUGAUGACGAGUGCGAGGGAACAACGGGGUGAAACAGGCUGCUCCAGACAGCUGAGCCAUGACCCAUCCAGUAGCUGCUGAACCUGCUGCAGAGCCUACAGCCCAGGUGGAGCUGUACCGUGCCCAAACCAGCUUCCGAAUGAUGGAUGUGCAAGAUCAACUACUACCCAGCGCCGACCCUGACUUUAGUCAAGAGUAGGACCAAGUCGUCUCGAGUAUUCUUAGAAGCUAUGCAAGAUCCAGCAGUCAAGAAGUACCAUAAGAGACUUUUCUCGGACUCAUAAAUUAGUUGAAAUAUGGACUGAAAAAGGGACACAAGUUGAGUAAAGGUUGAAGCUGACUGCAGAGAAAUGUCAACCUUGAAGCUAACAAAGGACAUUUCAAAGCCCACACUGAGAAGUCUGUUCAGAAGAAGAAGUUGCACCUGACCAAGAUGAGAUCCAAGAUUGGAAAUUAGUUGUUUAAUCGUGUUAUUAUUUUAAUGUCACUAAUGGUGUUGUGUAGUCCAUGUAUGUAUUAUGUGUCUCUGCUGAUGUGUUUUGUGCCUUACUUUCAUUUUCCUGUAAUUAGGCUGAUUUUUAAGUUUCUUGAGUAUUCUGUUUAGGAUACUGUGGAGUAUGAUUUGCAAAUGAAGAUGAAUCAAUUUGUCUUAAAUUAAUUGACUAAGAGAAAUGGAAUCUUGGGAGAAUGUUAUGUUGAUGACUAUGAGGUUUUUGGUAGAAGGAAGGGCUUAUUCAUUUGAGCAAUAACGGUGUGGGAUCUUUAUACAAAUUCUUAUGUUCUAUUUAGAGCUUGCUUUAAAAUAUGUUAGCAAAAAAACAGCGCACGCAUUAGUUUUCACAAUUUUUGUUCUUCUUUAGUUAUGGGGUCUUUUUAGGUGGUACCUCUAGGUACCACAGGGGGGAAUGUGGUGGAUUUUUGUUUGAUAUGUAUAACUAUGUAACUAUAUACACUAUAUAUCUGUGUGCACUGAACAUAUAUAUUUUAACUUUCAUGUAGAGUCUUAAGCACAAGACAUUUUGCUUCACCGAGGUUUAUUAAGUUGGUACUGUAACAGGGCAGUUAAUGUAGGGGGAGAGUUCUCUUGAAUAAUUUACUUAAUAAUUAAUUAA